Molecule: ribosomal RNA, 460 nt
Filed under: uncultured bacterium
Lineage: Bacteria
Description: partial 16S ribosomal RNA
Rfam family: Bacterial small subunit ribosomal RNA
Source: RNAcentral
CCUACGGGAGGCAGCAGUGAGGAAUAUUGGUCAAUGGACGAGAGUCUGAACCCGCCACGUAGCGUGAAGGAUGACUGCCCUAUGGGUUGUAAACUUCUUUUAUAUGGGAAUAAAAUGUUCCACGUGUGGGAGUUUGUAUGUAGCAUAAGAAUAAGGAUCGGCUAACUCCGUGCCAGCAGCCGAGGUAAUACAGAGGUCUCACGCGGUGUUAGGAAUCACUGGGCGUAAAGCGCUCGUAGGCGGUAUGUCAAGUCAAGGGUGAAAUCCACGCGCUACACGUGGGAACUGCCUUUGAAACUGGCAAACUCGAGUGUGUGAGUGGAUAGUGGAAUUCCAGGUGUAGGAGUGAACUCCGUAGAUAUCUGGAGGAACAUCAGUGGCGAAGGCGACUAUCUGGCACAUAACUGACGCUGAGGAGCGAAAGCGUGGGUAGCAAACAGGAUUAGAUACCCUGGUAGUC